GCGAGUGAAGCGGCAAAAGCUCAAAUUUGAAAUCUGGUACCUUUGGUGCCCGAGUUGUAAUUUGAAGGUAGUUUUCUGGUGCUGGUCCUUGUCUAUGUUCCUUGGAACAGGACGUCAUAGAGGGUGAGAAUCCCGUCUGAUGGGGAAUCCAGUGCUUUGUAGAUUUCUACCGACGAGUCGAGUUGUUUGGGAAUGCAGCUCUAAGUGGGUGGUAAAUUCCAUCUAAAGCUAAAUAUUGGCGAGAGACCGAUAGCGAACAAGUACAGUGAUGGAAAGAUGAAAAGAACUUUGAAAAGAGAGUGAAAAAGUACGUGAAAUUGUUGAAAGGGAAGGGUAUUGGAUCAGACUUGGUGUUUUGUGAUUAUCUUCCCUUCUUGGGUUGUGCACUCGCAUUUCACUGGGCCAGCAUCGGUUCGGGUGGCAAGAUAAUGGCUUGGGAACGUGGCACUCCUCGGAGUGUGUUAUAGCCCUUGUUGAUGUUGCCUACCUGGACCGAGGACUGCGGCUUCUGCCUAGGAUGCUGGCGUAAUGAUUCAAUACCGCCC
Molecule: ribosomal RNA, 545 nt
Filed under: Petasospora taoyuanica
Lineage: Eukaryota; Fungi; Ascomycota; Saccharomycetes; Phaffomycetales; Wickerhamomycetaceae
Description: eukaryotic LSU rRNA
Rfam family: Eukaryotic large subunit ribosomal RNA
Source: RNAcentral